This 275-nucleotide ribosomal RNA is filed under the name Clostridium perfringens. Its description in RNAcentral is "partial 16S ribosomal RNA". It matches the Rfam family "Bacterial small subunit ribosomal RNA", at positions 1266 to 1533 of the family's 1533-position model. The record is from RNAcentral. Lineage: Bacteria; Bacillati; Bacillota; Clostridia; Eubacteriales; Clostridiaceae.
AGCCAAACUUAAAAACCAGUCUCAGUUCGGAUUGUAGGCUGAAACUCGCCUACAUGAAGCUGGAGUUACUAGUAAUCGCGAAUCAGAAUGUCGCGGUGAAUACGUUCCCGGGUCUUGUACACACCGCCCGUCACACCAUGAGAGUUGGCAAUACCCGAAGUCCGUGAGCUAACCGCAAGGAGGCAGCGGCCGAAGGUAGGGUCAGCGAUUGGGGUGAAGUCGUAACAAGGUAGCCGUAGGAGAACCUGCGGCUGGAUCACCUCCUUUCUAAGGAA